GCCAGCGACCAUACUACGUGGAAAGCACCGGUUCUCGUCCGAUCACCGAAGUUAAGCUACGUCGGGCCGGGUUAGUACUUG
RNAcentral lists this ribosomal RNA (81 nucleotides) under Taenia asiatica. Lineage: Eukaryota; Metazoa; Platyhelminthes; Cestoda; Cyclophyllidea; Taeniidae. The record is from RNAcentral.